This 324-nucleotide ribosomal RNA is filed under the name Triticum aestivum (bread wheat). RNAcentral describes it as "partial small subunit ribosomal RNA". The record is from RNAcentral. Lineage: Eukaryota; Viridiplantae; Streptophyta; Magnoliopsida; Poales; Poaceae.
CGAAACGAAAGGCUACGUAAUAAACGGAGACUACCUAAAGGUGAGCUGACGAUAUGUGUUGGAAGUUUUUCCAAGCUUGAUAUGAUCAAGCAUCGCACGCUCCCUCUACCAAAGAGAUUGGUGUUAAAACUAAAUAAUUGUUAUUUGGUGUUUGCGUUGAGCAUAGACAUGAUUGGAUUACGUCUAUCGCAAUACGGUUAUUCAUUUAAGGAGAAUAAUGGUUACUCUGUUUAUUUGAAUAAUACCUUCAAUGGUCUUACACCUAAAAUGAAUGGUUUAUUAAAUCUCGAUCGUAGUGAUACACAUGUUCAUGCCAAAAGAUAG